Long non-coding RNA from Apodemus sylvaticus (European woodmouse), 2731 nucleotides. RefSeq lists it as uncharacterized. The record is from RefSeq and is a predicted model, not a curated record. The transcript is spliced from 3 exons. Lineage: Eukaryota; Metazoa; Chordata; Mammalia; Rodentia; Muridae.
UAUGUAUAUGAAUACAUUGUAACAGUCUUCAGACACCCCAGAAGAGGGCAUCGGAUCCCAUUACAGAUGGUUGUGAGCCACAAUGUGGUUGCUGGGAUUUGAACUCGGGACCUCUAGAAGAGCAGUCAGUGUUCUUAACCACUGUGCCAUCUCUCCUGGGACUACACAGUGGGUUCCAGGUCAGCCUGAACUGCAGAGUAAGACCCUGUCUCAAAAUUCACACACUUGCACAUAUUCAUAUGCAUGCACACCCCUAUCACACACACAUUGAUAAUAAAUGCAAUCUUAAUUAAUAAAGGAUGAGUUACCUGAGAAGCACUCCUCCUUGUCUAUAAGGAACUUGAGUGUCCUUGGCUUUUACUCUGUGGCAGGUUUGGAGCCAGGCCCCCACAAGCAGGGGUGACUGCAUUGACUGACCCACGUUCAGGUGCUCCCUGACCAUCACAGGAACAACACUCAAAGUCCAUUUGCCCCGUUUGCUGGAAUCCUGACAGGACAGUGUUUGUAAUCACCGAACAUUCAGGAUCAGGCCAGAACAAACAGACAGAAUCCAGAAAGUUUGCCCUCCCAUCUUCUAACUUUCCUUGAAUUCUUCUUUUAGAAGCUUUGAGAUUGAAUUUUUGUGUACAUGUCUGUGAGGAGGUAGACAUGUGCUGAGUACGUGUGACGGCCAGGGGACAGUUUUCAGGAGUCACUCCUACUAAUGUGGAACCUGGAUAUCCAACUCGGGUCGUCUGGCUUGGUGGCAAGCCCCUUUCCCUGCUGAGCCACCUUGCUGCCCCCCCUCUAAUUUAUUUGGUUUUAUUUUUAUUUUUAAGAUAUCACGGUUAUGUGGUGCAGGUUGGCCUUUUAACUCCUUAACAUAUUUUAGUGGUAUUUAUUUUGUUUUUUGUGCAGGAGUGUUUUCUUUGCAUUCAUGGAAAUGUACCAUGUGCCUGCUUAGUGCCCUUGGAGGCCAGAAGAGGGAACCGGCCUCCCUGGAGCUGGAGUGGCAGACAGUUGUGAACUGCCGUCUCCCACAAGUCAUGCCCCAGCCUGCAGCUAUCCCCGGAGACAGGAGGAAAGCUCAGUGCAUGACCCAAGGCUGGCCCUGACAGUCCAAAGAGACGGAGCACCCAUUAUCUUAUCCGAGGAAACUCUUUUAGAAGAAAUGACCAAGUGCCUAUGUUGUGGUGGACUGCUGUGGACAGAGUCGCUGGAGAAGCCCAUCGGUGUACAAUCGUUUAUUGAGCAUCUGAUGGCAUGUGCUAAGUACCGGGGAUGGAAGAAGAAACACCAGGCUUGCUUUCAGGGAGAAUGCAGCCGGGCUGAGUGCAUGCUAAUAGUGGGACGUGGCGAAAUGAAAGGGUAACCAGAAGGUUGCAGGAAGGCGUCUAGAAGAGAUCUCCCAGCGCGUGUGCUUCAGGAAAAUGGUAUGGAUGAAGGGUAGACAGGGACAGGCAUGGAGAAGAGCAUGCGUAAACGCUCAGCAUCAUCAAAAACAAAGCAAAACACCCUUGCCUGUCCCAGGGUUCCAGAGGAGACCAGGGCUCUCAGACAAAAAGAACACGGAACAAAGGGGGUGGGGGAGUAGCGAAAAAGGGCUGAACCUGUGAGCAGGCCAGACCUGCCGGGAUAUCAACAUCCUGUUAAAGAUUUGGAAGUCUAAGCAGGGUAGUGGUAGCCCAGUGCACUCUGAGUUCGAGGCCACUCUGGUCUAGAGUGAAUUCUAGGACAGUCAGAGCUACACAGAGAAACUGUGUUUUAAAACAAAACCAAACAGGAAAAGAUUUGGAGGUACAAAUUUAAGGGGGAGGCAGGGAAAUGGCCCAGGAUGCCUUGGAGGUCAGGAAAACUGCAAGAGGCAAAGUCAGUUGGGCUAGGCAUGCGUGGUAAGGGUAACAGAGUGGACUGUAAUCCGGCAGGAGAAAGUCCGGGGUAUUGAGGAAGUAGCCAGGGCCUGCGUGGGAGGAACCCUGGUGCUCAGAGGGUGGAGAGGGCUAUACGCCCAAGUAGGAAGGUCAGAGACAAACGCCAGCUACCAUAUUCUAGAAGUCUGGACUUUACUCCACAGACAGUGGGGAGCCACUGAAGAUAUUCUGAUCAGCGAAGAGAUAUGAUCAGAGCUGCAUGGCAUAGUUCCGCGCGGAACACGGACAAAGAUAUCUACGCGAGAGGCAGCGAGGGUCCUCUAACACUCAACCAUCUAUCAGGCGCUUACAUGCAACACUAAGCGUUUCAGAAAACUGCCCCUUCCGACCUUGCAGCGGACUAAGACGGUGACAGUGGCGAUACAGUGAAUCCAGCCCUUAAAGAAGGGGCUCCCAUGUGCACCCACAUGCAUACAAGGCUCAGAAAAGGUUUCCGAGCGAUACAAGGCCUUAUUGAGCUCUUCCUUCCUCCCACCCUUCCUCUUUCCUUUCUUCCUUCCUGGCUGCCUGUUUUCCUGCGCUACCAGGGACUGAACCAAACCUAACACAUCCUACAAACCAGGCAAGCCAUAGGCCACUGAGCUGCACUCUGGCCUCUGUCCAGGCGGCUGGAGAUUCUGAGAAGAACGGCCUGAGGGAUAAGGAGAGGUCUGCAGAGAGACCAUGAGGGCCUUGCUCAUCAGGCUUUGUUUAGUCACUACGUAAGGCAAGGGACCCUCCUGGCUGCUGAAUGAACAACCCUGAGGCCUUCAUUUCCUGAGGGUGGGGUGUCUUUCUUUCAGUUCCUACCUCAAUAAAAUACGUUCUCUUUGUCUCUUUCA